RNAcentral lists this ribosomal RNA (253 nucleotides) under uncultured bacterium. Its description in RNAcentral is "partial 16S ribosomal RNA". It matches the Rfam family "Bacterial small subunit ribosomal RNA", at positions 524 to 776 of the family's 1533-position model. The record is from RNAcentral.
UACGGAGGGUGCAAGCGUUAUCCGGAUUCACUGGGUUUAAAGGGUGCGUAGGUGGAUUGGUAAGUCAGUGGUGAAAUCUCCGGGCUUAACCCGGAAACUGCCAUUGAUACUAUCAGUCUUGAAUACCGUGGAGGUCAGUAGAAUAUGUCAUGUAGCGGUGAAAUGCUUAGAUAUGACAUAGAAUACCAAUUGCGAAGGCAGCUGGCUACACGAAUACUGACACUCAGGCACGAAAGCGUGGGGAUCAAACAGG